GCCAGCAUGACAUAGUGGUUUGAGCAUUGGACUAGAAAUCUGGAGACUAGGAUUCGAUCCCCUGCUUGGCC
This is a non-coding RNA of Phrynosoma platyrhinos (Desert horned lizard), 71 nucleotides long. Lineage: Eukaryota; Metazoa; Chordata; Lepidosauria; Squamata; Phrynosomatidae. The record is from the annotation of a GenBank genome assembly.